AGUGAACGCUGGCGGUAGGCCUAACACAUGCCAGUCGAACGGCAGCACAGUAAGAGCUUGCUCUUACGGGUGGCGAGUGGCGGACGGGUGAGGAAUACAUCGGAAUCUACUUUUUCGUGGGGGAUAACGUAGGGAAACUUACGCUAAUACCGCAUACGACCUACGGGUGAAAGCAGGGGAUCUUCGGACCUUGCGCGAUUGAAUGAGCCGAUGUCGGAUUAGCUAGUUGGCGGGGUAAAGGCCCACCAAGGCGACGAUCCGUAGCUGGUCUGAGAGGAUGAUCAGCCACACUGGAACUGAGACACGGUCCAGACUCCUACGGGAGGCAGCAGUGGGGAAUAUUGGACAAUGGGCGCAAGCCUGAUCCAGCCAUACCGCGUGGGUGAAGAAGGCCCUCGGGUUGUAAAGCCCUUUUGUUGGGAAAGAAAAGCAGCAGGUUAAUACCCCGCUGUUCUGACGGUACCCAAAGAAUAAGCACCGGCUAACUUCGG
RNAcentral lists this ribosomal RNA (491 nucleotides) under uncultured bacterium. RNAcentral's name for it is "partial 16S ribosomal RNA". It matches the Rfam family "Bacterial small subunit ribosomal RNA", at positions 29 to 506 of the family's 1533-position model. The record is from RNAcentral.